UCAGAGACCCACCUACUACCUUUUUGGUGGCUCCAGUAGCUCUCUCUGUCCUUGUCUUUUCAUUGGCAUAAUGUCUGCUGAGCUGCAGCCUGCCUUUGUGAUUCAAAAGCUCUUCGUGGCAAGGGUUUCUUGAUGCAGAUGAGGCUUUCUCCCAGCGAAGGUACAGGUAAUCCUCAUUACUGAGAUUUCUAGGAGAAAGGGGGUUACUUCAAUCCAUUAGGUGGUUGUUUCCAGCAGUGCUGCAUAUGAGUACCAAUUCCUGCAGUCUUCUCUUCAGGCAGGAGCAACCUAGUGGGUGUGCAGAUGCUGUAAAGAUGCUGGUACAGGUUGCAGACCAAGCCUGGACACUGAAAGGAGGAAACACACACAGCUAAGCCUGCUCAAACCUGCAAGGAAGGAGCAAGGACCCACCACAACACUGUAUGCAUCUGGAUAAGCCCUCAGGAUAGUGCUGGUUUGCUUUAACCCUUCCACCCAUAUUCUUCUGAAGAAAGGAAGGCUGAUGGUGUCAACCUUGGGACAUUGGGAAGGUGAGCUUGACAUCAAACAAAAGUGGUAGCUAUUGGAAUUGUUUCUCGUAUAACAAUUUCCAUUGUCAAUUACAAGGCUUUUCUUUACCAGUUAGGGAGAGGUGUUUGUGGUAUUGUAACUGAACUACUAAUUAUUGCUUCUGCCUUUUGAUCAGCCUGCUAAAGCAUAAACUGGACAACCAGCAGGCUCUUGCCUCCACGUCUAUGGUACAUCCUCUCUGACCCAGAACAAAGUGGAAGAACUUCCUGGUUUGGUGGGAGUUAAUUCCAUGUGAGAAAAAGCUUUGGACUGACUUUGAACAACUUAGUGUGGGCAGAGCGAGAUUUGAAGAUCUCAGACUGUGUAGGGACUAUGGAAAAAAAGUAAUUUGAAAAUUAAUGAAAUCUCUGGGAAUAGGCUGAGUCUGUCCUGUUAACUGUAUUUCUAUAUAAAUGAUAAUUAUAAAAUUAUUAAGGAGUGAGAGGUCAAUUAAAAGUUUCUCUGGAGGAAAACUCAGGUUCCAAGUUCUGUCUUUGAGAUUUGGACAAAGUCUGAUACAAGCCUGACCAGAAGUCUCUGGUUGGCAAUAGACUUAGUAAAAUUAAAGCAAAUGUCAUAGCUGAUCUGCUUUGAAUGCUGGAGAGCCUCAGAAAAGUUUAACACACUUAGACUAAAAACACAAGGAUUUUGUCUUGUGUUUAAGAUGUUGUCUUGGUUAUAGAGUGUAGCUUUCAUAAACACACAUUGAUCAAAUUGCACUUGUUGGAACUGGUUUUAGAAAGCAUGUAUCAGAGAGAUAGAUGUGACUCUUCCUAGAAAUCAGCCUGCAGUUAUCAUUCACAUGCAUAUGGUAGGAGAUAUUGAAGGAGCGAGUUGGGAACUAAAAAUAUCACAGGACAUUGAUCAGAAUUAAGAAGAUCAGUUCCAACAGAACAGGUCCUAGAAAUUAGAGUGCUCCUGGGAGAAAUUAGAAAUACUUGGUCACCACAGAAGUCAAUAUGUUAGACCCUGUGCUUGUGUAGAUUAGCAUUGAAAUCAAUAAAGCUCUUAGAGUUUGUCACA
Pogoniulus pusillus (Red-fronted tinkerbird) is the source of this 1572-nucleotide long non-coding RNA. RefSeq lists it as uncharacterized. The record is from RefSeq and is a predicted model, not a curated record. The transcript is spliced from 2 exons. NCBI's taxonomy places the organism in Eukaryota, Metazoa, Chordata, Aves, Piciformes, Lybiidae.